GGAGGGGUGUCCGAGUGGUUUAAGGAGGCGGUCUUGAAAACCGUUAACCUCUCACGAGGUUCAUGGGUUCGAAUCCCAUUCCCUCCGCCA
This 90-nucleotide transfer RNA is filed under the name Dialister histaminiformans. RNAcentral's name for it is "Allisonella histaminiformans tRNA_Ser_TGA". It matches the Rfam family "tRNA". Rfam says of the family: Transfer RNA (tRNA) molecules are approximately 80 nucleotides in length. RNAcentral also lists the same sequence under 1 other name. Lineage: Bacteria; Bacillati; Bacillota; Negativicutes; Veillonellales; Veillonellaceae. The record is from RNAcentral.